This 276-nucleotide long non-coding RNA is filed under the name Populus tremula. RNAcentral describes it as "long non-coding RNA (PTRE_LNC000596)". The record is from RNAcentral. Lineage: Eukaryota; Viridiplantae; Streptophyta; Magnoliopsida; Malpighiales; Salicaceae.
CGGUGGUGUCAUAUAGCGGCCUGGUGUGGCUAGAAGGAGAAGUUGCAGAGGGCUAGGUCACCAUCUACAGGCGAGAAUCCAGCCAGCCUAAUCCAAGCUACAAACAAAUCAGGACUGACGACGAGGAAGCUUGUCCUGAAAUGACGGGCUAUGAGCAUUACUUGUGAGACUUGAACUUGUGUAUUUCUCCGCCUGCAAGUUUUACGGAGAACCGUCAGAACUGUCUCAGGCUGGCCGGUGAGGAAUCUCGAUUAUACGAUUUACACGUUGUUUCUG